UGCAGUCGAACGGAUCCUUCGGGAUUAGUGGCAGACGGGUGAGUAACGCGUGGGAAGCUACCUUGUGGUAGGGGACAACAGUUGGAAACGACUGCUAAUACCCUAUGAGCCCUAUGGGGGAAAGAUUUAUCGCCAUGAGAUGUGCCCGCGUUAGAUUAGCUAGUUGGUAAGGUAAUGGCUUACCAAGGCGACGAUCUAUAGCUGGUCUGAGAGGAUGAUCAGCCACACUGGGACUGAGACACGGCCCAGACUCCUACGGGAGGCAGCAGUGGGGAAUAUUGGACAAUGGGGGCAACCCUGAUCCAGCCAUGCCGCGUGUGUGAUGACGGCCUUAGGGUUGUAAAGCACUUUCAGCAGUGAAGAUAAUGACAUUAACUGCAGAAGAAGCCCCGGCUAACUUCGUGCCAGCAGCCGCGGUAAUACGAAGGGGGCUAGCGUUGUUCGGAAUCACUGGGCGUAAAGAGUACGUAGGCGGACUGAUAAGUUAGGGGUGAAAUCCCAAGGCUCAACCUUGGAACUGCCUUUGAUACUGUCAGUCUUGAGAUCGAGAGAGGUGAGUGGAACUCCGAGUGUAGAGGUGAAAUUCGUAGAUAUUCGGAAGAACACCAGUGGCGAAGGCGGCUCACUGGCUCGAUACUGACGCUGAGGUANNNAAGNNNGGGGAGCAAACAGGAUUAGAUACCCUGGU
This 688-nucleotide ribosomal RNA is filed under the name bacterium 23D5. RNAcentral's name for it is "bacterial SSU rRNA". It matches the Rfam family "Bacterial small subunit ribosomal RNA", at positions 56 to 791 of the family's 1533-position model. The record is from RNAcentral.